CUCAGGACGGUGCACUUGCAAGAACUCAGGACUCUGCAAUCCAGGCUGGCAUUGAAUCCAGGAUCCAGCUACCUCAUCCUCCAGAGUGAAGGGAAUACAGGGAGGAUAUCAUUGCUGAAAAUGGAAGAGCUACAACAUGGAAGGAUCCUGGAUCCCUGGAUUACUGCUUGGAAGAAAGUUUCCCAGGACAAUGGGCAAGUGUGAACACCUGCUUUUGAUUUUGUGUGACGGAGAAAUAAACAUUAAUUCCAUUAAGCCACUGAGACUGGAGAGCAUUAUGUUAGCUGAUGCUAGUUGGCUUGAGUAGUAGGGAC
Molecule: long non-coding RNA, 314 nt
Filed under: Heterocephalus glaber (naked mole-rat)
Lineage: Eukaryota; Metazoa; Chordata; Mammalia; Rodentia; Bathyergidae
Description: lncRNA (ENSHGLG00000036974.1)
Source: RNAcentral